This 111-nucleotide unclassified non-coding RNA is filed under the name uncultured Glomeromycotina. RNAcentral describes it as "sequence contains ITS1". Lineage: Eukaryota; Fungi; Glomeromycota. The record is from RNAcentral.
CCAAUCUUUUAGCGGGCCUUGGGCUUUGUCCAUGGUCUCGCGAAAAUUCGUAUUUAAAACCCGCUCAUGUAAAUUUUUUAAAUAUAUCUGUUAUAUAUAUAUAAAUAAAGA